AAUAAAAUGGGUAGAUACCUUACCCUAACAUGUCAUAAGUGAAAAAUCACAACUCUCAUUUCUUUAUACAGAGCUAGAGAAGGAAUUACAAGAACAAAAACUAUAACUAGAAAGAGAAACUUCAGUUUUUUUUGUAAAAAAAAUCCUAAACUAGAGACUUGAAGCAAUUAGUUGACAGAGAUCACUAUUUGCUUCAACACUUAAAAAGAGGAGAGUAAGUAAGACUGACAGAGGACAAGCGAGAGAUCAUUAAGAUGUUGCUUCUUACAAUAACAUAUUAUUUAGGCGAAAUAGUCUGGUGGACUCUUGUACUUGUAUCAAUUUGUAUUUUGAACCCUUUUACUUAUCUAUUUGUCAUCUAUACUCUUAGACUCAACGAAACACAAGAUAUCAGACCCUUUUGACCAUUGACCACACUUAUGUGGCUUUAAGAUGGUUGAAUUGGUGAAAGUGUGUGAUUUCACACUCCUUAAGACGAGUGAGUAACAUAUUUCAGUUUUAAAAAUAUUAAUAAUAAAAUAAUACAAAAAGUAAAAAUAAUUAAGAAGACCACAUCUUCUUCACCAUAUUCCACCUUCAACGGCAACCAUCUCCAUUCCCAAUUCUUUUUUUUCUUUCUAUACUCUUGUCAUCAGAUCUUGACAUUGAUACCUUCUUGACUCCAUUGAUUCGCCCCUAAAGGGAGAGGUCGAUAUUAGUGGUGCUCGUCAGAGAAAGUGUGACGGUGAUGGCUAGAUUGGAGGAUCUAGUUACAACAUUAAAGAGAUUUUGGCCAGAUCUGGUGGUAUGGCGUUGACGGACGACAACAGUAGUUUUGUGAUGGUGUGGCGGCUACGGCCAGAUCUGGCAGCGACGGCUAGAUCUGGUGGAGUGACGGCGGAACCUUCAGAAUAAUUUUUUUCUUUUUAGCUUCUAGUAUGGUGUCCUUCAUUUAGUUUUUGCUUCUCAUUUCUACAAAUUUGUGAGACAAUAAAUUUGAUAAUUUUGAUGGGUAAAAAAUAAUUGUUAAAUCAAUAUUUGAAUAUAUUGAGAUAUUUUCAUGGUGAUAAAGUUUGCAUUAAUGGAGAAAAGAGGAUUAUG
RNAcentral lists this unclassified non-coding RNA (1080 nucleotides) under Hevea brasiliensis (rubber tree). The record is from RNAcentral. Lineage: Eukaryota; Viridiplantae; Streptophyta; Magnoliopsida; Malpighiales; Euphorbiaceae.